This 406-nucleotide ribosomal RNA is filed under the name uncultured bacterium. RNAcentral's name for it is "partial 16S ribosomal RNA". It matches the Rfam family "Bacterial small subunit ribosomal RNA", at positions 30 to 526 of the family's 1533-position model. The record is from RNAcentral.
AUUGAACGCUGGCGGCAGGCCUAACACAUGCAAGUCGAGCGAGCGGCGGACGGGUGAGUAAUGUAUGGGAAUCUGCCCGAUAGAGGGGGAUAACUACUGGAAACGUUGGCUAAUACCGCAUACCAUCCGGUGUACCCAUAUGGGAUUAGCUAGUAGGUGGGGUAAGGGCUCACCUAGGCGACGAUCCCUAGCUGGUCUGAGAGGAUGACCAGCCACACUGGAACUGAGACACGGUCCAGACUCCUACGGGAGGCAGCAGUGGGGAAUAUUGCACAAUGGGCGCAAGCCUGAUGCAGCCAUGCCGCGUGUGUGAAGAAGGCCUUAGGGUUGUAAAGUACUUUCAGCGAGGAGGCGUUACUCGCAGAAGAAGCACCGGCUAACUCCGUGCCAGCAGCCGCGGUAAUAC